RNAcentral lists this ribosomal RNA (440 nucleotides) under uncultured bacterium. Its description in RNAcentral is "partial 16S ribosomal RNA". It matches the Rfam family "Bacterial small subunit ribosomal RNA", at positions 338 to 795 of the family's 1533-position model. The record is from RNAcentral.
CCUACGAGUGGCAGCAGUGGGGGAUAUUGCACAAUGGGGGAAACCCUGAUGCCGCGACGCCGCGUGAAGGAAGAAGUAUUUCGGUAUGUAAACUUCUAUCAGCAGGGACGAAAGUGACGGUACCUGACUAAGAAGCCCCGGCUAACUACGUGCCAGCAGCCGCGGUAAUACGUAGGGGGCAAGCGUUAUCCGGAUUUACUUGGUGGAAAGGGAGCGUAGGCGGUGAUGCAAGUCAGAAGUGAAAGCCCGGGGCGCAACUCCGGGACUGCUUUUGAAACUGUAUGGCUAGAUUGCAGGAGAGGCAAGUGGAAUUCCUAGGGUAGCGGUGAAAUGCGUAGAUAUUAGGAGGAACACCAGUGGCGAAGGCGGCUUGCUGGACUGUAAAUGACGCUGAGGCUCGAAGGCGUGGGGAGCAAACAGGAUUAGAUACCCCAGUAGUC